Chelonia mydas (Green sea turtle) is the source of this 73-nucleotide non-coding RNA. The record is from Rfam. Lineage: Eukaryota; Metazoa; Chordata; Testudines; Cheloniidae.
GCCCCAGUGGCCUAAUGGAUAAGGCAUUGGCCUCCUAAGUUAGGGAUUGUGAUUUCAAGACCCACCUGGGGUG